UGCUGUUAAAAAAAAUAUAAAGAAACCAAUAUCCAAGAUUUGGGUUUUUCAAAUGUUAAAACAGAAAUGUUGGAUUUCACCAAAAUAACACCAGUGGCAAAAUGGUCAAAAGUUGAACCGGAUAUGAGAAAGCCAUCCGUUGAAUAUAAAAUUACUAUUUAUCUGAGGGAAUGACCAUUUCACCCUUCUAUUCAGAACGAAUGACCGUUUUACCCAUAUAAUUAAAGUUGUUCCUUUGUAGCUUAAAUUAAUAGUCUAACUCAUUUGCUAAAAUGUGACAAUAUAAUAUAUGUAAACACAAUGUAGAGUUUUUUUUUGUUUUUACUCUUAUUUUAUACAUCAGUGAAUUAUAAUUAAUGAGUUAGUUAAAAAUCCAAUUUGAAAUUUGUUUGGGACCUUUUUAUUGCUCAAUCGAUUUCAUCCAGUUGAGUAACCAGAUGGUAUACCACCAUUUAUGAAAUGGUUACUAUAAAAAGUAAUAACUUCUUUCUCUUCUUUUCUUCCUCUUAGAAUAAAUUUUGAGAUCUUUAAAGAUUUUUAAAUAAGUACUUAACAAAAAUAAAAUAAGGAAAAAUAAAUUUGUAAAAAAGUUACCUUCAUAUUAACCUCAUCUUAAAUAAGAGGGUGUCUUGUACAACAUAUGAUGAAAACGAUUUUUAUUGUGAAAUACCAUUAUAGUUUCAUCCCUAGUUGGCAACUUGGCCCUUUCCUAAAAUGGAUUCAUUGUGGCAUUUUCACAAACACCUAAUAUGCAGUAAAUAGAAUAAAAAUAAUGAAGGUUGAAAUGAUUUGGUUGUUUUUUCUAUUGAUAUAGACAAACCUAUUUCAAAUAGAUAACCUUUUCAUCACCACCUGCAACUUUUCAUAAGAAAAAGGAACAUUUAAAUACUGUAUGGAAAAACGAUCAUAAUUGCCUCAAAAGAUUACCACCACAAACUCCUCUAGCUCCUGAUAAAAAUCAUAACUACAGAAAAUCUAAGCACAAAAAUAAAUAUGAAAGAAAACAAUAUCGAAAUGUAUUUUGAAAGAUGCAAGGAAGAUUUUGAGAAAUAGGUUGAGACCUGUAUUUGGGUUUGGGUGGUGUUGUUCAUCCACCUUACACAUGUACACCAAAAGUGGUUGUGAAAAAAAAAGAAUGUAAGCUAAUGAACAACUUGAACAACUUCAAUGGAAUGAUUAUACGUGGUAUGAUUGGAAGAGAAGAAAUAAAGAAGGAAGAAUCACCUGUAAUCCAACUAACAUACAAUCACCAUGAUUGAAAAUCUUAAACACAACUUGAUUUCAGUGACAGUAAAGUAGAGUAGAAAGUAAGAUCUUACAGGUUUUCCCUUUUCUAAUUCAAUCAAAUAGUUGCUUGAAAGGGGCAUUUGCAUUCUUUACAUCUAUCAAAUCCUACCAUACCACAAGGACUCCUAGACGUUAACAACUUUCAAUCUCCAAUAUUACCCAAAAUGAACUCAUAAGCACAAAAGGAAACACAUGAAUAGAUGAAGCAUACAAUUUAGGGAAAUAGAAGCAGAGAAUACGGUUUUAGGAACCGAUGGAAAUAAGAGGAAGUGGCGACAUAUUAAUCGAUGAAGUUUAGAUAUACAAAAUUCCCUAGUGAAAAAAUAAUUAAAGCUUGACCUCUGAUAUUCAAAAGAACGAGGAUUAGAAAAGGAUGAUCUUUAUAAAUAAGAGAUUCAAAUCAAACACGAAACCAAAAGUGGCAUUUCUUCAAGGGAUAUCAAAGUACAUAGAACUUACUCAAGCCAUGGUUGUAGAGGACCUCCACCGUCAUACUCAGAACUGGUGGUCACGGUGUGUGGUGGUGGCGUUUAGGAGGUUGUGGUCAUGUGGUGGCAGUGAGUAGUGAUAGCUUUGGGGAAAAACAAUGUAAGAGCAUUUGGAAAGGAGAUAAAGAAAACGAAAACCUCCGAUGGAGAUUUCAACGACGGAAUAGUGGAGGUCGGUGGGUGAUCGAUCGAACAAAUCAGGAGGGGAAGAAUGUGAUUUUGGGGUUGUGGUUUUCAAGAGAGGAGGAAUUGUGACAUCCCUAAACUUUUUCGGUUUGUUAUUCGUAUUUUCUGUUAAUGCCUUU
RNAcentral lists this long non-coding RNA (2080 nucleotides) under Lactuca sativa (garden lettuce). RNAcentral's name for it is "long non-coding RNA (LSAT_LNC002639)". The record is from RNAcentral. Lineage: Eukaryota; Viridiplantae; Streptophyta; Magnoliopsida; Asterales; Asteraceae.